AACAUUCCAACUGUUAAGUUUGGACUCCCUUAAAAUCAGAUUGACGUGUCUAUAUAUUGAAAGAGUGUGUUAAAGUAGUCGUGCAGUAUUGAAGUAUUAUAUUUAGACCAAAUGUAGCAUGAUCCUUUGCUUCUCAAAAAUAAGCCCUUCAGUUCUAACUCAAGAGAGCAUAAGGUUAGCCUGGCGAAAGGGUAGGCUGGGUUAAGUCCCAUGAUUGUAAGCACAAAUUUAAUUAAUAAAACAGAACUGUUAUAUAU
RNAcentral lists this long non-coding RNA (257 nucleotides) under Prunus dulcis (almond). Its description in RNAcentral is "sRNA ncRNA". Lineage: Eukaryota; Viridiplantae; Streptophyta; Magnoliopsida; Rosales; Rosaceae. The record is from RNAcentral.